AUCACUUCUCAGCCUUUUGGCUAAGAUCAAGCAUAGUAUCUGUUCUUAUCAGUUUAAUAUCUGAUACAUCCUCUAUCCGAGGACAAUAUAUUAAAUAUAUUUUUGGAGUCGGGAGAUGGAAUAGGAGCUUGCUCAAAAAAAAAAAAUAUGUGAAGGUCCUUUUCCUUUUCCUCACAAUGCAUUAUCUGAAGGGUUCAAGU
Small nuclear RNA from Sapajus apella (tufted capuchin), 200 nucleotides. RefSeq annotates it as U2 spliceosomal RNA. The record is from RefSeq and is a predicted model, not a curated record. Lineage: Eukaryota; Metazoa; Chordata; Mammalia; Primates; Cebidae. The transcript has a single exon.